AUACAAUCAUAGAAUCUUAGUCUUUGCAGAAACCUCUGAGAGACUCUAUUCUAUUCAUCCACCCAAAGGAGGAAUUCAUACUCAAAUAUCCCUGACAAAUGACCCAUUGACAAUUCUGAGACUUUCCUGGCUCAGCAAUCUACAGAUCAUUCAUCAGCAUGUAAAUGUCUUCCCAGCAGUAACCUUGGCAUUCCCAGAACAACAUACUCUCCUUCUUAUCCCUGGUCCAUCAGGGCCAUUUAAAAAAUUGCAAACUCUAGACUUAAAGUAUUCAGCACAUAGGAGAGACUCAAAAUAGAGGAGGAGAGAAGGAUUAAUGUGCUAAUAAUACUUGGGAUGUGCAAGCCCAGAGCUGUGAAAGUGAGGGGAAAAAGAGAAGUGAAGCACCAGAUCACGUGAUGUACUGCAGAUCUGGUACUUGGUAUAGUCCCUGCUUGCAAGAUAAAUAAAUGAAAGAAUCAAAGAAUACACACGUAAGCAAUAUCAAGUGCUAUCCAAACUUCUGCGUUCAGAGAAACCUUGAAUCAGGGAAUAUCUAUAAAUAGAAACUGGGAGAGUAGUGUUCCACAAAACUCACUUUGAGAAACGCUAGGCUAGAUGAAGUUACAACAGAGAAGUAGUAACUGGUUUUGACUAUUCUUCAAGUCUUCUCUCAAACACUCUGCACCAAAGAAGCCAGCCCACAUUUCUCAUUUGUUUGUGUAUCUGUAAAAUGUUGAACUUCUAUUAAAACUGUCAUCAAAAUA
RNAcentral lists this long non-coding RNA (746 nucleotides) under Equus caballus (horse). RNAcentral describes it as "lncRNA (ENSECAG00000044560.1)". Lineage: Eukaryota; Metazoa; Chordata; Mammalia; Perissodactyla; Equidae. The record is from RNAcentral.